RNAcentral lists this ribosomal RNA (497 nucleotides) under uncultured bacterium. RNAcentral's name for it is "partial 16S ribosomal RNA". It matches the Rfam family "Bacterial small subunit ribosomal RNA", at positions 28 to 507 of the family's 1533-position model. The record is from RNAcentral.
GAUGAACGCUGGCGGCGUGCCUAAUACAUGCAAGUCGAGCGAACAGAUGAGGAGCUUGCUCCUCUGACGUUAGCGGCGGACGGGUGAGUAACACGUGGAUAACCUACCUAUAAGACUGGGAUAACUUCGGGAAACCGGAGCUAAUACCGGAUAAUAUCUUGAACCGCAUGGUUCAAUAGUGAAAGACGGUUUUGCUGUCACUUAUAGAUGGAUCCGCGCCGCAUUAGCUAGUUGGUAAGGUAACGGCUUAUCAAGGCAACGAUGCGUAGCCGACCUGAGAGGGUGAUAGGCCACACUGGAACUGAGCCACGGUCCAGACUCCUACGGGAGGCAGCAGUAGGGAAUCUUCCGCAAUGGGCGAAAGCCUGACGGAGCAACGCCGCGUGAGUGAUGAAGGUCUUCGGAUCGUAAAACUCUGUUAUUAGGGAAGAACAAAUGUGUAAGUAACUAUGCACGUCUUGACGGUACCUAAUCAGAAAGCCACGGCUAACUACGUG